This 1096-nucleotide unclassified non-coding RNA is filed under the name uncultured Bordetella sp. RNAcentral's name for it is "partial 16S-23S ribosomal RNA intergenic spacer". It matches the Rfam family "Bacterial small subunit ribosomal RNA", at positions 10 to 1107 of the family's 1533-position model. The record is from RNAcentral. Lineage: Bacteria; Pseudomonadati; Pseudomonadota; Betaproteobacteria; Burkholderiales; Alcaligenaceae.
AGUUCGAUCAUGCUCAGAUUGAACGCUGGCGGGAUGCUUUACACAUGCAAGUCGAACGGCAGCACGGACUUCGGUCUGGUGGCGAGUGGCGAACGGGUGAGUAAUGUAUCGGAACGUGCCUAGUAGCGGGGGAUAACUACGCGAAAGCAGCUAAUACCGCAUACGCCCUUCGGGGGAAAGCGGGGACCUUCGGGCCUCGCACUAUUAGAGCGGCCGAUAUCGGAUUAGCUAGUUGGUGGGGUAACGGCUCACCAAGGGCGACGAUCCGUAGCUGGUUUGAGAGAGGACACCAGCCACACUGGGACUGAGACACUGGCUCCAGACUCUACGGGAGGCAGCAGUGGUGAAUUUGGACAAUGGGGAAACCCUGGAUCCAGCCAUCCCGCGUGUGCGAUGAAGGCCUUCGGGUUGUAAAGCACUUUGGCAGGAAAAGAAACGGCACGGGAUAAUACCCUGCAACUGACGGUACCCUGCAGAAUAAGCACCGGCUAACUACGUGCCAGCAGCCGCGGUAAUACGUAGUGCAAGCGUUAAUCGGAAUUACUGGGCGUAAAGCGCGUGCGCAGGCGGUUCGGAAAGAAAGAUGUGAAAUCCCAGAGCUUAACUUUGGAACUGCAUUUUUAACUACCGAGCUAGAGUGUGUCAGAGGGAGGUGGAAUUCCGCGUGUAGCAGUGAAAUGCGUAGAUAUGCGGAGGAACACCGAUGGCGAAGGCAGCCUCCUGGAUAACACUGACGCUCAUGCACGAAAGCGUGGGAGCAAACAGGAUUAGAUACCCCUGGUAGUCCACGCCCUAAACGAUGUCAACUAGCUGUUGGGGCCUUCGGGCCUUGGUAGCGCAGCUAACGCGUGAAGUUGACCGCCUGGGGAGUACGGUCGCAAGAUUAAAACUCAAAGGAAUUGACGGGGACUCCGCACAAGCGUAUUACGAUUAAUUCGAUGCAACGCGAAAACCUUACCUACCCCUUGACAUGUCUGGAAUCCCUGAAGAGAUUUUGGGAGUGCUCGCAAGAGAACCGGAACACAGGUGCUACAUGGCUGUCGUCAGCUCGUGUCGUGAGAUGUUGGGUUAAGUCCCGCAACGAGCGCAACCCUUG